CCAAUGGUGCUCCUUGUCGCAUCAUUAUGUUCUUCGGAGGGGCGCUCCCCGGCUCCUCCUUUCGUCAGAUAGCCGGUGGAAGACCUUGCUUGACCAGCUGAGAGGAGGUGCAUGGUCGUCGUCAGUUCGUACUGUGAAGCAUCCUGUUUAGUCAGGCAACGAGCGAGACCCACGCCAACAGUUGCUAGCAUGUUCUCCGGAAUGAUGAGGACACUGUUGGGACCGCCUCUGCUAAAGAGGAGGAAGGAAUGGGCAACGGUAGGUCAGCAUGCCCCGAAUUAUCCGGGCUACACGCGGGCUACAAUGGUCAGGACAAUGGGAAACGGCACUGAAAAGUGUAGUCAAUCUCCUAAACCUGUCCCAAGUUCGGAUUGUGGGCUGCAACUCGCCCACAUGAAGCUGGAAUCCGUAGUAAUCGCGUUUCAAAAUAGCGCGGUGAGUAAGUCCCUGCUCCUUGCACACAAAGGGAAUU
RNAcentral lists this ribosomal RNA (472 nucleotides) under Methanomicrobium mobile. Its description in RNAcentral is "bacterial SSU rRNA". It matches the Rfam family "Archaeal small subunit ribosomal RNA", at positions 882 to 1343 of the family's 1478-position model. The record is from RNAcentral. Lineage: Archaea; Methanobacteriati; Methanobacteriota; Methanomicrobia; Methanomicrobiales; Methanomicrobiaceae.